Molecule: ribosomal RNA, 253 nt
Filed under: uncultured bacterium
Lineage: Bacteria
Description: partial 16S ribosomal RNA
Rfam family: Bacterial small subunit ribosomal RNA
Source: RNAcentral
GACAGAGGGUGCAACCGUUGUUCGGAAUUACUGGGCGUAAAGCGUGCGUAGGCGGUCCGCAAAGUCUGAUGUGAAAGCCCCGGGCUCAACCUGGGAACUGCAUUGGAAACUAACGGGCUCGAGUGUGGCAGAGGGGGGUGGAAUUCCACGUGUAGCAGUGAAAUGCGUAGAGAUGUGGAGGAACACCGAUGGCGAAGGCAGCCCCCUGGGCUAACACUGACGCUCAGGCACGAAAGCGUGGGGAGCAAACAGG